RNAcentral lists this small RNA (687 nucleotides) under Arabidopsis thaliana (thale cress). RNAcentral describes it as "ATSL170950". Lineage: Eukaryota; Viridiplantae; Streptophyta; Magnoliopsida; Brassicales; Brassicaceae. The record is from RNAcentral.
UUCGGUUAUAGUAAUACAAGAACCAUUUGGAUAUUUGAGGAAUUUUGGUUCGGUUCGGUUCGGAUAUUAAACUUGGUAACCAUAAAUAAACCAAAACCGAAAUAACCGACUAAAAACCGAAACAACCAAAAAAUUUGACCAAUAACCGAUAUAGAACGUACGUAAAAAAGACAUAUUCACAACUCACAAAGAUGCAAAUAUGGUCCAUUCACAACUCACGAAAUUCAACUUGCAAACUAAUAAAGAGAAGAACAUAGUUAAGUGUCAAUACAUACAAUAUAUAUGAUAUAUUAUCUAUCAUACAUAUAUGCUUUGGUUAUCCUUUGGUUAUCGGUUACUAACCUAACCAAAACCGAAACCGAAAUCUAAGACAUAUAAUAUCCAGCCGGUUAUUUUAAGCUAUUCAAACCCGAACCGAACCAUGUUUUUCGGUUCGGUUCGGUUCGGUUAAUCGGUCAGCGGUUUUUUUGCCCAGGCGUAGUAUCAAGCAACAAACGAAUCAUUUGCUCGUGAGAAUGGUACAAUAUUCUGUCCAUGUCGUAAGUACCUCAAUGAUAAAUAUUUGGAUUUUAAUUUGGUGAAGAAGCAUUUAUAUAAUAGAGGAUUUAUGGCAAACUACUAUGUAUGGUUACGUCAUUGGGAAGGUUGUAGAGAUAGCGCAAGAAGUAUUAGUAUGAAAAUUAUAAA